Molecule: unclassified non-coding RNA, 337 nt
Filed under: soil metagenome
Description: partial contains 5.8S ribosomal RNA, internal transcribed spacer 2, and large subunit ribosomal RNA
Rfam family: 5.8S ribosomal RNA (bases 1-120)
Source: RNAcentral
GAUGAAGAACGCAGCGAAAUGCGAUAAGUAGUGUGAAUUGCAGAAUUCAGUGAAUCAUCGAAUCUUUGAACGCACAUUGCGCCCCUUGGUAUUCCAUGGGGCAUGCCUGUUCGAGCGUCAUUUGUACCCACAAGCUUUGCUUGGUGUUGGGUGUUUGUCCCGCGUUGCGCGUGGACUCGCCUUAAAGCGAUUGGCAGCCGGCAUAUUGGCCUUGGAGCGCAGCACAUUUUGCGCUUCUAGUCAUGAAUGUUGGCGUCCAUUAAGCCUAUACAUUUGCUCUUGACCUCGGAUCAGGUAGGGAUACCCGCUGAACUUAAGCAUAUCAAUAAGCGGAGGA